GACGAACGCUGGCUGCGUGCUUAACACAUGCAAGUCGAACGGAAAGGCCCUGCUUUUGUGGGGUGCUCGAGUGGCGAACGGGUGAGUAACACGUGAGUAACCUGCCCUUGACUUUGGGAUAACUUCAGGAAACUGGGGCUAAUACCGGAUAGGAGCUCCUGCUGCAUGGUGGGGGUGGGAAAGUUUCGGCGGUUGGGGAUGGACUCGCGGCUUAUCAGCUUGUUGGUGGGGUAGUGGCUUACCAAGGCUUUGACGGGUAGCCGGCCUGAGAGGGUGACCGGCCACAUUGGGACUGAGAUACGGCCCAGACUCCUACGGGAGGCAGCAGUGGGGAAUAUUGCACAAUGGGCGGAAGCCUGAUGCAGCAACGCCGCGUGCGGGAUGACGGCCUUCGGGUUGUAAACCGCUUUCGCCUGUGACGAAGCGUGAGUGACGGUAAUGGGUAAAGAAGCACCGGCUAACUACGUG
This 468-nucleotide ribosomal RNA is filed under the name uncultured bacterium. RNAcentral describes it as "partial 16S ribosomal RNA". It matches the Rfam family "Bacterial small subunit ribosomal RNA", at positions 28 to 507 of the family's 1533-position model. The record is from RNAcentral.